Long non-coding RNA from Daphnia pulex (common water flea), 606 nucleotides. RefSeq lists it as uncharacterized. Lineage: Eukaryota; Metazoa; Arthropoda; Branchiopoda; Diplostraca; Daphniidae. The transcript is spliced from 3 exons. The record is from RefSeq and is a predicted model, not a curated record.
AACAACAACAACAGUUAAACAACAAUGGCUGCCAUUCCCUAUAUUGCUAACUGUGCUUAGUGGUCUUCUGUGCCGUUUGUCUUUCACGUUUCGAUGCAGUGUUAACUGUUAAGGUGAAUAUUUUAAAAUGUUUUAGCAGAUUAAGUAUUGCUAAACCCAAUUAGUGGGUCAUGCCGACUACUUCCGCGUAUUUAAAGUUCACACAGUUUAAGUGAGUGCUAACUAAAAAACUAAGUGUUAACUCAACCCAAAAAAAAGUCGCAAGUCACCAUGUAACUUGGAGAAAAUAUUACGAGUUAACGUGAAAGGGUCGUGGCCGUAAUACAGCCUACUGCCUACCGUCAACUAUUAUGUUCAAAAUCAUAGUAUUCUACUGAAUGUGCCAUCGAAAUUAUACAGGAGUCAUAAUUAUCUGCUGUUUGUAUUGGACUUGCUAGAUCACCAACCCCAGCAUAGACCAAUCUCUCAUUUCUUUUUCUCGAGAGAAGAUUGGAUAACUGAUUGGUGUUUUCAUGUGUAGGUUCACUUAUCAUGUCACUGAACUUUUUCCGUUGCAGUCUAAUAUGUAUUUAAAGUAUUGAUCUCCACUUAUGUCUAUCUAAUGUU